AUAAAAUCAAGGUCCACAGAGAACAAUUUGGAAGCCCUUGAUUUAGAAAAGCUUGUGUUUUAUUCCCUUUUCAGAUUUCCUGAGAUUUCCUUCAACGUGGGAAAAUAGAGAAAGAUCUAUGAACCUGUGAGUCUGCAUGCUUGUUUUCCUGGGCAUAGACAUAGCUCAGAAGAAGACCAUGGAUAUGGACCAUGGAGAUGUGCAAUAAAGACUGCUGAGAGAAACUCAAAGUUUAGGUGAUGCUGUAAAGCAGACAAGCAAGCUUGAAAAGGAAUUUGGGAGCUGAGGAGGAGAGAAUUCAGUGAGAUAGUCCCUGUAAAUACAUUGUACAUUACCUGGACACAUGCAAUAGUUCUGAUACUGUAUUAUUAUUACCUGGCUAGCUCCGCUGGCAUCCUUAAGAAUCUUCACUAUGACACUGAUGGAACCACAGAGUCCAUGAGCCAGAUGCAACCUAGUGCAAAGUCUGGGGGAUGGAGAAAGUGUGGUGAAUGGAGCUUGUUCCCUCAACAUUAAUGAAUCCAUAGUUUUAGACUGUCUCCAAAAUAGGAGCAUAUAUUCACAUCCAUCAAGACCACCUAAUCUCAUCUGAGCUGCCAGAAUGACAAACGCUGCAUGAAUGACCCCAGACUAGACCAACAGAAGACCAUUCACUUCAACCUACCUCAAACUGCUUAUCCACGGAAUUAUGAGUAAACAAAAUGGUUGUUUUGAAUCACUGGGUUUGUUAUACAAAAAAUAGAUUAGUAAUAUAAUUUGUUAAACAGAAAUUAAUGAGUGUUUAAUAUGGGAAGCCUUGGACAUCUCAAAAAUAUUUGAAAGGCAAUUUAGCUCUAGUUUAAAUCUCUCAAGUUUUUGUUAUGAACCCUUUAUCAAUGUAGGUCCAUUGUUGUCAGAUAUGUAUUCUGAAUUUUUUCUGCCACUCCUUUGUUUAUGCAGACAUUAAGCAUGGGGAUGCCUUUUCUUGUUUCUUAGCCUGCCCAUAGCAAGCAGCUGUUCAAAAUCAACCUCCUUGUGGACGCCUGGGUGGCUCAGAGGUUGAGCGUCUGCCUUAGGCUCAGGGCGUGACCCCGGGGCCAGGGAUUGAGCGCCAAAUCAGGCUCCCUGCAUGGAGCCUGCUUCUCCCUCUGCCUGUGUCUCUGCCUCUCUCUCUCUCUCUGUCUCUCCCUGUGUGUCUCUCAUGAAUAAAUAAAUAAAAUCUUAAAAAAAAGAUUUUAAAAAACAAAAAACAAAAUCAACCUCCUUCACAAUGUUUACCCUGAUCAGUCUGAUUUUUUCAUCCACUAAACUUAUACAAUCAUGAAUAGAUUCUACAUAUUUCAUGCUUAGUCAAUCAAUUCAAAAGUCUUAACCUCUAGUCUAGACUCUAAGUCAAUCAAUUCAGAAGUCUUAACCUCUAGUCUAGACUCUAAGCUUCUUGCAGGAGAGAUGAUACCUGCACCUAGUAUUGUAUCUUUCACAUGAUUCAAUAUGGGUGAAGCUCUACCCAAAAACGUAGGUAUCCCAAUGAUCUACUAUCUACUGUUGGUUAAGUUAAUACAUGGUAGGAGGGAAAGAGCCAAGGAAACAAUGAAACAUUCUUAGUCCCUGGAUAUUUUCCUUUUGGCUAUGCAUCUGUGUUCACUACUUUUUAUGACCAUUAGCUUUAUAGAUUCCAAAUGAUUUUAUUAGUGGUGGAGAAAUAUCAAGGGAGUAUUAUCAUUAGAAUCAGUGUGAAGUAUUGUUGCUGUGCUGAAUGUAGUUGCAAGAGUUAUAGUAGAGUUUGAAAAGGAGAUGGCAGGGGUGCUGCCCCAGCAUAAUGAAGUGAAUAAGGGCAAAAGACCUUCAAUACAUUUGUCGUACUGAAUUCCACUGAAUUAGCCUCAUCUCCACUUUCUUAUUUUUCUUCCUUUCUUCCUUACUACAGCAUACUUGGGGAGCAGAUUGAAACUCUGAUCCUCAUUAUAGUCAGUAAGAUCAACCCUACAUAGAAGGAUUUCUUUUCACUUUAGUGAUACUAUCUUUUGAACUUCAAGAAGGUCAGAUUUCAGGGAUAUUACAUUUCUGGUGAAUGAGCCUUUAUGGUCAGUGAUAAUUUUAAAACCCACUCCCUAGUGGAGAAUCACUGGCAGCUAGUACUGGGACUCAACGGGGUCUCUAAGAAGAUCUAAGUAACACAAGCAUAAAAAUGCAAGUGAAAUGUCAGUCUACACUUUCCUCUAUGGAAUAUAAGGCAAAAUCUAGAAACAUUCACAAGGCUGACCUAGCAGAGAAUCUGAAAGCAAAGACAAUUUCUUUGGACAAUUAAUCCAGAGGUUGAAAUGGAUGCCUCUUGGAAUAAGAACUAAAGGAUCUUCUUUCACACUUUCUCCAUUUCAAGUUUAAGGAUUCAAAGGUGGUGACUGGCUAAGAGUCAAAGCUUUAUUGCCAAACUAGUCUAAAUCAAGAUGUCAUAACUAGCUGUGUGAUUAUGAAUAGGUUACUUAGCUUUUAUUAGUAUUUAUCUUAUAAUUUAUUUUUUAUCUGUAAACUUAGCCCAUAUAUGCUAUAACCUAUAGAUUGCUUUACACUUUCAUGAUAAAUAAGAGUCAUGCAAAAAAUGUUAAUUUUUAUUAUGCAAUGUGGCUAACUUGGUCUUACAUUGGUUAAGAAAAUCCUUUUGCAUUAGCAGCUUAGGUCAGAACUCCAGAAGUUGACUUUAGACAAAGCUGUAUUUAGAAGUGAUUUGUUAUGAAAUUGCUCCCAGAAAAGACCAGUAAAGGAGUGAGGGAAGCUUAAUAGGGAACACAAAGAAACUAAAUGAGGAUGGGGAAAUCUCACAUGAAUUCCCAGCUUAGCCCGACUCCAAGAGGAGCUUCAUAAUUUGUCCUACCUAUGAUGAGGGAAUUGGGAUUUCACAGUUCAGCACCAAGCAGUCAUCAGUAAAGGUUCUCUCUGGCAAAUAUAGACUCUUAGCUCUUCUGGCUAUAGUGUGCAGGCAAAAUGGUUUGAGUAGUUUAAGAAUGUUUAUCCAAUAAGAGGCACAUGGGUGCUUCUUUAUUAGAAGCAAAACACACAGAAUGAGGGUGAAGAAUGAUGGAAAAGUGCUGAAUAGUCUCAGGAAAGAAGAUGAAUUUAUUUACAUGGUAUAUAUCCUUUUUACCAUGUACUAGUUGUAUUUUAAAAACUUAAUGAGAGAUGACAAGGCUCUACUUUCAAAUGAAUAUAUUACACUGGUCAAUGUGAAAUAUUUCCGACUCAACUUUGCUUCCAUGUGAAUGCACCCAUAUGGAUGAAUACAUUUUGAAUUAUCUGACCUUUUCUGUUCAGAUUUUCAGAACAGUACUAACCAACACAUGACAGAAUCACUUUCAUUUCUAACUCUUCAUUUUAAUUCUAAUUGACUUUAGAAUAGAACCACCCAGAAGAAGACACUUGGGUACCCAAUGAUCCAGAGUAUAAGCAUGUAGCCAAGAGUUUCUGUGACUCCUCAGGGGAGUUGCAGGGAAAGAAUGAAGCAUAUGUCCUCUUUCAAGGCUCUGCUCUGGCUAGGUGUGUGAUACCUGAGCAACUUGCUCAGUUUCUUCAAUAAUAGUGACAAUCAUUAUUGGAAACAACCUACCACAUGUCAUGUUCUUACCUUGCACUAGGAAUUUUGCUAAGUGCUUUACACAUGUAGAAUUUAGGAUUCAAGUAAAGCAAUGAUAUAGAUAUGAUUAUGAUUUUAUGAAUGAGGAGGUGAGCCUUACUGAUUGGUACUGAAAUAGGGAAGCUCAGCUCAUUUUCUCUGAAGGUAACACAAACUCUGGAGUGCAAUUUAUACUCCAGAGCUUCCUUUGGGAUCAGCUGAAGUUGGGAAUUUACCUGAACACUCUCCAUCAUCAUUUGGCUUCUUCCUUUUUGACCAGCUUCCCUCAUUCCUUCAUCAGUCUUUUCUGAUAGCAAUUCCUUAAAAAAUCAUUGCAUUGGAGUAGUUUGGUGGCUCAGUCAGUUGGAUAUCUAACUCUCGGUUUCAGCUCAGGUCAUGAUCUCAGGGUCAUGGGAUUGAGCCCUG
Molecule: long non-coding RNA, 4012 nt
Organism: Canis lupus familiaris (dog)
Lineage: Eukaryota; Metazoa; Chordata; Mammalia; Carnivora; Canidae
Exons: 5
Source: RefSeq, a predicted model, not a curated record